GGAGCAUGUGGUUUAAUUCGAAGCAACGCGAAGAACCUUACCAGGGCUUGACAUCCCGCUGACCCUCCUAGAGAUAGGAGCUCUCUUCGGAGCAGCGGUGACAGGUGGUGCAUGGUUGUCGUCAGCUCGUGUCGUGAGAUGUUGGGUUAAGUCCCGCAACGAGCGCAACCCUUGUCCUUAGUUGCCAGCAUUUAGUUGGGCACUCUAGGGAGACUGCCGUCGACAAGACGGAGGAAGGUGGGGAUGACGUCAAAUCAUCAUGCCCCUUAUGUCCUGGGCUACACACGUGCUACAAUGGAUGGAACAACGGGCAGCCAACUCGCGAGAGUGCGCGAAUCCCUUAAAACCAUUCUCAGUUCGGAUUGCAGGCUGCAACUCGCCUGCAUGAAGCCGGAAUCGCUAGUAAUCGCGGAUCAGCAUGCCGCGGUGAAUACGUUCCCGGGUCUUGUACACACCGCCCGUCACACCACGAGAGUUUGCAACACCCGAAGUCGGUGAGGUAACCGCAAGGAGCCAGCC
Molecule: ribosomal RNA, 519 nt
Filed under: Aneurinibacillus migulanus
Lineage: Bacteria; Bacillati; Bacillota; Bacilli; Caryophanales; Paenibacillaceae
Description: bacterial SSU rRNA
Rfam family: Bacterial small subunit ribosomal RNA
Source: RNAcentral